This 253-nucleotide ribosomal RNA is filed under the name uncultured bacterium. Its description in RNAcentral is "partial 16S ribosomal RNA". It matches the Rfam family "Bacterial small subunit ribosomal RNA", at positions 524 to 776 of the family's 1533-position model. The record is from RNAcentral.
UACGGAGGGUGCGAGCGUUAUCCGGAUUCACUGGGCUUAAAGGGUGCGUAGGUGGGUAUGUAAGUCAGUGGUGAAAUCUCUGAGCUUAACUCAGAAACUGCCAUUGAUACUAUGUUUCUUGAAUUUUCUGGAGGUCAGCGGAAUAUGUCAUGUAGCGGUGAAAUGCUUAGAUAUGACAUAGAACACCAAUUGCGAAGGCAGCUGGCUACAGGGAUAUUGACACUGAGGCACGAAAGCGUGGGGAUCAAACAGG